AUUGAACGCUGGCGGCAGGCUUAACACAUGCAAGUCGAGCGAGCGGCGGACGGGUGAGUAAUGUCUGGGCAACUGCCUGAUGGAGGGGGAUAACUACUGGAAACGGUAGCUAAUACCGCAUACCAUCAGAUGUGCCCAGAUGGGAUUAGCUAGUAGGCGGGGUAAUGGCUCACCUAGGCGACGAUCCCUAGCGGGUCUGAGAGGAUGACCGGCCACACGGGAACGGAGACACGGUCCAGACUCCUACGGGAGGAAGCAGUGGGGAAUAUUGCACAAUGGGCGCAAGCCUGAUGCAGCCAUGCGGCUUGUGUGAAGAGGGCCUUGGGGUUGUAAAGCACGUUCAGCGAGGAGGCGUUACUCGCAGAAGAAGCACCGGCCAACUCCGUGCCAGCAGCCGCGGUAAUAC
Molecule: ribosomal RNA, 406 nt
Filed under: uncultured bacterium
Lineage: Bacteria
Description: partial 16S ribosomal RNA
Rfam family: Bacterial small subunit ribosomal RNA
Source: RNAcentral